Long non-coding RNA from Hemicordylus capensis (graceful crag lizard), 661 nucleotides. RefSeq lists it as uncharacterized. Lineage: Eukaryota; Metazoa; Chordata; Lepidosauria; Squamata; Cordylidae. The record is from RefSeq and is a predicted model, not a curated record. The transcript has 2 exons.
UCAGUGCGUUGGGGUUUGAGAGCCGGGCCAGAGAGGCAGUGUGCGCCCAGGCGCUCAGCCUGAAGCAGCAGCAGGAGCAGCAGGCGCGGAGCAGCCGCCGGAGGGGGCUGCUCCUGCGUGGAUGUACCCAGACGGGGACCUGGCUUAGCAGGUUUUUAUUCCCGGGACCUUCGGACAGCUGGGAAAUCCAUCAAAAGCCUACCUUUGUGGGCAUUUAAGUGCUGGUUCCCCCUUCACCCCCCUCUUCAGAGAUAUGGUUCGCAAAAAGGAAUCGCUAAAAGUCUUCAGUCACUGAAAAAUACGCUUGCACAGUACAUUUCCGGCUGUUUAUGCCGCAGUCCUUUCUAUAGGAGUCUCUAUUUCCUCUUACAAUACAGUAUAUUCAGCCUAUAAUAGAAUAUUCGUAAAAAUGCAAAAUGAAGUAAAUAUUCUCUAUUAUUUAUAUAAUUUAUAACCUUUGUGAUUGCAUAGACACCUCUUAACUUGUUUCCACAUUUUUGGUCCUAAUUUGUUCUGUGCAUUAAAGGAAGGGGGAUUUUUGUGUAAGGUAUGGGAAUAUUUUAUUAUUAUUAUUAUUAUUGAAUGUUGAGAACUUUGGAAAUAAAUUGAUUGAAGCUGAUUUCCCUCUAAUAAAUAUACUUCUAACGAAAAAGGACAGAGA